CGUUGAAACCCCGGUUUCCGUAUGAUCACCGAAGUUAAGCAAAGUCGAGCCUGAUCAGUACUUGAUGCCUGAACGCUUGGGUAGACCAGGUGCUU
Molecule: non-coding RNA, 95 nt
Organism: Acanthosepion pharaonis
Lineage: Eukaryota; Metazoa; Mollusca; Cephalopoda; Sepiida; Sepiidae
Source: the annotation of a GenBank genome assembly